Corapipo altera (White-ruffed manakin) is the source of this 3975-nucleotide RNA transcript. It is a transcript of the gene named TAM41 mitochondrial translocator assembly and maintenance homolog, with no coding region annotated. The record is from RefSeq and is a predicted model, not a curated record. NCBI's taxonomy places the organism in Eukaryota, Metazoa, Chordata, Aves, Passeriformes, Pipridae. The transcript is spliced from 9 exons.
GCCGGGCUGCAGAGGGCGCCGUGGGCGCAGCCCCUGCUUGGCCGCGGCCUCGCCUCCCGCCGCGGGUCCGGCGUGCCCGGUCAUGGCGCUGCCGGUGCUGUCGAGCUCGGCCGUGAAGUUCCGGCGAGUCCUGGCACACUUCCCGCAGGAGCUCAGCCUGGCCUUCGCCUACGGCUCGGGGGUGUUCCGGCAGGCGGGGGCCGCGGCCGAGCACGGCGAGAACAAUAUGCUGGAUUUCGUAUUUGCUGUUGAUGAUUCUGUGACCUGGCAUAUGAUGAACUUGUUAAAGAACAGGAGUCAUUAUUCCUUCCUAAAAUUUUUUGGGCCAAAACAGAUAACUAGUAUGCAGAGCUACGGAGCAGGAAUUUACUACAACACUUUAGUGCCAUGUAAUGGUAGGAUGAUAAAAUAUGGUGUUAUUAGCACUGAUACCCUGAUUGAUGAUUUAUUUCACUGGAAAACCCUCUAUGUCGCUGGGCGCCUACAAAAGCCGGUGAAAAUACUGACACAGAAUGAGAAUAGCAAGCUGCAAGCUGCUCUUGUUAGCAACCUGAAGAGUGCAGUCACAGCAGCCUUUCUCAUGUUACCAGAAAGUUUCUCUGAAGAAGACCUCUAUAUGCAGAUUGCAGGACUCUCCUACUCUGGUGAUUUCAGAAUGAUAAUAGGAGAAGACAGAUCGAAAGUGCAGAACAUAGUGAAACCCAACAUUCCCCAUUUUCAGAAGCUGUACAGUACCAUAUUACAGGACUGCCCCCAAGUGGUAUAUAAGCACCAUCUGGGAAGGCUAGAGAUUGAUAAAAGUCCAGAAGGUCAAUUUACACAACUAAUGGCUUUGCCAAAGACUCUGCAGCAAAAGAUAACUUCUCUGGUAAACCCUCCUGGAAAAAACAGAGAUGUGGAAGAAAUUUUACUGCAAGUUGCCCAUGACCCUGACUGUGGAUUUGUGGUGCAUCAAGGCAUUUCAGGAAUUGUGAGAUCUUCCAGUAUAGUGCAGAGUGCUAAAACCAUACUGACAGCUGGCAUGGCCAACUAAGUAACCUGCAUGGCUAAUGAGCAGCCUGGAAUCCUCCAAACAGUCCUGCUUAGGUGUCCUGCUUGCACAGUGGAAUCUGGCAGGUUGCUGGUGUCCAUUACCAGCCAGAGUGGAAUCCUACUAAGCUGGACAUACCUUGCAGUAGAUGAGAAAGGGCUUGAAAAAGCACAGUGUAUUAGUUUGGUGAGGAUCUGCAGUACACACAGGGGCAAAGAAAUCUGUAACUUACAGUAUGAAGAAAUUAUAUAAAAUGACAAAGGGAUGGUUAAGGAAGACAUCUUGAGUCUUGACGUAGUAUGUAUGGGUAAAUAAAUGGUACUUUUUAUUUAAAUAUUUUGCAGAUGCCACUUUGCAUACUUGAGAAGAUUACAAUGCAUUUAAGAAGUCCAUUCUAAUGAUUUACAUGCCCAAUUUUAUGAAUGAAAUAGGAACUUUUUAAUGGGAGAAAGUUUGCUGGUAAUAGGGCAAAGGAAUUCUACUCUGUAAAUACUGAACUGUAUUUUCUUCUGUACUAGAGCUUGGAUUUUCAGAAACCCCUAGUAAAAAGAAUUGAUUGUACAUAUGAAUGAAAACCCAAAGCCACUAAUUUUCUAUGUAUUGCUAGCUUUAUUUUCCAAAAUACCCUCAGGCUCUUUCAAAAUAAUCAAGUUCUUUCAGGGACUUAUGGAACUGGAGAGCCCACUGAAUUUUGUGUAGAUAAGAAACUGUCCUUUCACAUUUCUGCAUUGACAAGUUCAUCCUUAGAAUUCUUCUGAGGAUCCUCACUGGAUGCUUCUGCACGGCAGACCUUAUGGAAAGGACAUUUCUUCCCACAUGUGACAUUCUGAAUCCAAAAAACUUCCACGGUGACUUUCAGUGUGGGAAAGAGAAAUGAGCAGCUUGUCGGGUGUCAGGUUUCAAUCCUUUCAUAAAAAUCCUUUUAUGAGCCUGAGAUGAAAACUGCCCAACUCAUGGCUCAGCCUUGUCAGAAGAGCCAGAGUUGGAGGGAAAAUCGUAAUUCCAUGGACCUGCUUGUGCAGACUUAUGAAAUAUGUGUUGUUUGGCAAAAGAUUCUGUCAAAGCACUUUGAAGUUGGGAAUAUUAUGAACAAAAGCACAUAUUGUUUGAUUCCUUGAUUUUAUUUUUUUUUCCCCUGAAAAUACUGUCCACAAAGGUGAAACUUGUUUUCCCUUUAAAAAUUAGCUAAACUAAAGAAAAUUGGAGUUUUACAUAACGUGUCAAUCGUGCCAUUAAAGAUUGGACAUUUCUGGCAGUUUUCAUGUGUGGUGCAAUAAAUUUGGAGGAUCUUUUGUAAACAGAAUAUUUUUCACACUCAGGUGGGUUUCCUACUGUGGGAAGUUUAUCUUAUUAGAAAUAAAUUGAGACAAGAUUUAAUUUUGUUUGUGAAAAUGUCAAUGAUAAAAAUAAUUUAAUGGUAAAAAAUGGAAAUAAAAUGUAUCUUUCCUGAUUAGCAUGUAUUUUUUUUUUCUUGUGUAUUAUCUGAUCAGUAGGGUUAUCUCAAGCUACAUUCAAUUUAGUGAUCUCACUUUAAAUUAUUGGAAUGAAGUUAUCUGCUAAUUAUUUCCAGGGAGCAGUUCAAAGCAUGAAUUUAAGAAAGACAACAGAAAAUAUACUAUUGUAUGUAAUACGACUCAUGCAGGCUUACUUUAAUCAUAGGACAACUUUAAAAUAUUGAUUAUUUUUAAAUAUUUGAGUUUGAAAUUUUAAACCAGAGUCAGGAAAUAAAUGUGUCCCCUUUUUAAAAUUAUUAUCUUGAAAAAUAUUAUUCCUGUGAAAUCGUAAAGAAAUUACUGUGAAAUUUUCUAAGGCCAUAGGUAGAUUCCUAAAACUUUGCAUUACCCAUUGGUGAUAGAUCCAGAAUGUGUGAGCCAAAUCCCCUCAAAUGUCCCUUUGCUGAUAUUAGAAGGCUCAUGACCCUUUUUAUGGUGAUGAAGAAUGCUUGUAUGUGUGGUAUUAGCAUUCCCUGUCCCCCCUUACUAAUGGAAGAGGCCAAAUUCCCCAACUUGAAAAGUUUACCAUAUAAGAAAUGUAACCAGGGGCUUUAAGCCACUGCUUAAAUAAACUUAACUUGGGUUUUGGCUGGAUUUUUUUGUUUGCACAAAGAGGUUCCUUUGUAGAUAAUCUAGAAGUCUUUUAUACAUAAUACAUCCUAUCCACCUUAAUAUUAACCUCAUAUGAGUUAAUUAAGUGAGGGCUUACAGUAGCCAUACCAUUUUUAACGUUUCAGCAUAAGCUCCAGUGAAAGAAAUCUGAAAUCAGAUGUUGACUUGCUUAGGUGUGCUCGGUGGGAAGCUCUUAAGAACAGAAAACACUGAUCCCAGUGCUAGAAACAGACCCAAAGAUACAAAGCUUUUGGACAAAUGAACAGCCUGAGAAAAGAUUCAGGAUGGAGCCAUGGUCUUCUGAAUGAAAGAGUUACCAGGUAAGAAGUGAGAACUGCCUGGUUUAGUCAUCUAACGAGGUGACAGCUUUGAUUAGUUGGUCCCAAAUGAAAUGCUCUGUAGGAAAACACUUGGGCACAUGUGCAGCAGCAUAGACAGAACACUGAUUUUUUAUCUGGUGUUAGAAAAUUUUUAGUAGGGUCCAGGGUAGUAUCUGGGGAGGGAAGGAGGGAGGGAAGUCCUCAUCUGUGAAAGUCUUAGGAUACAAAAAAAUUGGAAAACUGAAAUUGUCAGCACAUAAAUUAUCCUUGUAGGAAACGGGGCAAUUUCAAACAUAUCCCUCUGCAUAAGUAGUUAGCAAAAGUAUUUAUCGUAUUUAUCUUUCGUAAUUUGUUCUUUUUCUUUGAGGCCUGUGUGGGAAGGGGUCUAAGAGAGCCUUCGCUCCUUCCAAAGAAGAGGACACCAACCACUGGUGAGGAUUUGUCCUCGACAAAUUCAGAGAGAUCAUUCCUAGCGAACCUGUAUUUUUCUGUGUGAAUUCUGUUCCUCUAGUCAACUUUU